RNAcentral lists this non-coding RNA (46 nucleotides) under Rosa chinensis. Its description in RNAcentral is "sRNA RchiOBHm_Chr7g0202711". It matches the Rfam family "Histone 3' UTR stem-loop". Rfam says of the family: The mRNAs of metazoan histone genes lack a poly-A tail. 3' end processing occurs at a site between a highly conserved stem-loop (modelled by this family) and a purine rich region around 20 nts downstream (the histone downstream element, or HDE). The stem-loop is bound by a 31 kDa stem-loop binding protein (SLBP - also termed the histone hairpin binding protein, or HBP). The record is from RNAcentral. Lineage: Eukaryota; Viridiplantae; Streptophyta; Magnoliopsida; Rosales; Rosaceae.
UCUUAGGCCUCAUUGAGGCCACAAAUCAUUUUCCAUAAAAGAAUAU